This 1710-nucleotide long non-coding RNA is filed under the name Homo sapiens (human). RNAcentral describes it as "HSALNT0130976". Lineage: Eukaryota; Metazoa; Chordata; Mammalia; Primates; Hominidae. The record is from RNAcentral.
CUCUACUAUAAAUACAAAAUAGCCGCGUGUGGUGGUGGGCAUCUGUAAUUUCAGCUACUCGGGAGGCUGAAGCAGGAGACGCUUGAACUUGGGAGGCAGAGAUUGCAGUGAGCUGAGAUUGCACCACUGCACUCCAGCCUGGAUGACAGAAAGGCCAUGUCUCAAAAAAAAAAAAAAGAAAGAAAAAGAAACAGGGAAGGGAAGGAAAAUCUGACGUCACAGUGAUCACAGCCACACUUACCAACUCCCAUUGGUUAAUGCUGUCAGAAUCACCAGCAUCUGUAACUCCUUUCCCUCCGGGGUGUCUUGUUUAUAUUUGAAAUGGAAUUCCAGUAGAUGGAAAUUAUAUCCUUUUCUAAAAGAGGCUGCUUAAGUGCAUUCUGAAGAGAGUAGUAGAUUGAAUUUCUCUGUUAUCUUAGAUGAUGAGUAUGAGCAUAAAAAAGAAAUGAAAAAUAACAAAAAGAAAUGCCAAACAGUCCAUUUUGUUAAUUAUAAUCUUUCUGCUAGGUACCAAAACACCCUCUGUAACUUCAAUUCUCCUUAUGUAUCACUGACCAUCAAAAGCACAAUAAUCAUUUCUCCUUGGUCCACAGUAAAAUAUUCCAAAGUAAAACAAAAAAAUCCUUUUUAGAAACCAGCUUCUCUCUCUCACUAAACACAGUCCACUUACACAAGUCCCUCCACAGAUGCCCCAUCUGAAGGCAGCGCUUCAUGGGGAGCCCCAUACGAUGGCUCCCUGACUCUGCGAUCUGGUCUGGAGAUGCAGUGGCCCUGACUCUGCGGUAGCACCGACUCUGAGUUCUGGUCUGGAGGUGCGGUGGCCCCGACCCUGCGGUCUGGUCUGGAGGUGCAGUGGCCCCGACUCUGUGAUCUGGUCUGGAGGUGCAGUGGCCCCGACUCUGCGAUCUGGUCUGGAGGUGCAGUGGCCCCGACUCUGAGGUCUGGUCUGGAGGUGCAGUGGCCCCGACUCUGAGGUCUGGUCUGGAGGUGCAGUGGGACGCACCAAGGCUCUGUGCCAAGUCCCCGCAGGCUCCUGCUCAGGACACAGUGCAGCUCAGCACAUUAAUGACAGCUCUCACAGCCUCGAGGAAACAAAUGUUUCCCUUUGUUAGCCCAAAGUUUCCUAAACACAUCUGACUUGGAGCUAGAUUUUCACAUCUCUGCUGUACCAAGGGAAGGCAGGAGCGGCUGCUCCAUAGGAAGCCAUGGUCCCCCGGGCCAGGACCGAGUAAUCGGUGUUGUUCCCCUCCACAAGGUCACCGGUUUGACUCCUGUGUAACAGUGGACUUGACUGUGUCUUAUGGACACAGACUGGAUUCUAAUCCCAUCAGCCCUUUCUCAUCACAAGUCAUCGCCUCCUGGUAAAAGGGGAGGGUGGGGAGAAGUGAACUUGUCAGUCUAGCGGUCUGUAAUUCUGUCAUCCCCACAAACCCAUCUCUAAUACUGGGGAAAAUGGACACCAAGUCCAGUUCCUGGUCCAUUCAAACUGGCCACGCACAUCACCGGGGGGUAAGGAUGGAGCAGGUGCAAUUCCAGUGUUCACAGCCCAAGGCUUCCCAGAGCAAUCUGCUGUAAUGGUAGAGUUUAAAUUAAAUUAUAUAUAAACACUCAAGAUGCAUACCUCUUUGUGUGAAUGCAUCAUUUGUUUUAUUUUUAAGAAAAGGGAAAAAAAACUGAAAAUCUGUCCCUGGGUGUGGUUACUAAGCCCUA